RNAcentral lists this ribosomal RNA (253 nucleotides) under uncultured bacterium. RNAcentral describes it as "partial 16S ribosomal RNA". It matches the Rfam family "Bacterial small subunit ribosomal RNA", at positions 524 to 776 of the family's 1533-position model. The record is from RNAcentral.
UACGGGGGGGGCAAGCGUUGUUCGGAAUUACUGGGCGUAAAGGGCUCGUAGGCGGCCAACUAAGUCAGACGUGAAAUCCCUCGGCUUAACCGGGGAACUGCGUCUGAUACUGGAUGGCUUGAGUGUAGGAGAGGGAUGCGGAAUUCCAGGUGUAGCGGUGAAAUGCGUAGAUAUCUGGAGGAACACCGGUGGCGAAGGCGGCAUCCUGGACCAACACUGACGCUGAUGAGCGAAAGCUAGGGGAGCAAACGGG